Molecule: ribosomal RNA, 250 nt
Filed under: uncultured bacterium
Lineage: Bacteria
Description: partial 16S ribosomal RNA
Source: RNAcentral
CUGCUGCCUCCCGUAGGAGUCUGGUCCGUGUCUCAGUACCAGUGGUGGGGGACCUUCCUCUCCGGAACCCCUACGCAUCGUCGUCUUGGUGGUCCGUUACACCGCCAACUAACUAAUGCGACGCAUGCCCAUCCGCCACCGGAAUCAACCUUGGCACCAACAGGAUGUCCCGUCGAUGCAUUAUGCCGUAUUAGACGGAAUUUCUCCCGAUUAUCCGGCUGUGGCAGGCAGGUUGCAUACGUGUUACUCA